Molecule: ribosomal RNA, 492 nt
Filed under: uncultured bacterium
Lineage: Bacteria
Description: partial 16S ribosomal RNA
Rfam family: Bacterial small subunit ribosomal RNA
Source: RNAcentral
AGUGAACGCUGGCGGUAGGCCUAACACAUGCAAGUCGAACGGCAGCACAGUAAGAGCUUGCUCUUACGGGUGGCGAGUGGCGGACGGGUGAGGAAUACAUCGGAAUCUACUUUUUCGUGGGGGAUAACGUAGGGAAACUUACGCUAAUACCGCAUACGACCUACGGGUGAAAGCAGGGGAUCUUCGGACCUUGCGCGAUUGAAUGAGCCGAUGUCGGAUUAGCUAGUUUGCGGGGUAAAGGCCCACCAAGGCGACGAUCCGUAGCUGGUCUGAGAGGAUGAUCAGCCACACUGGAACUGAGACACGGUCCAGACUCCUACGGGAGGCAGCAGUGGGGAAUAUUGGACUAUGGGCGCAAGCCUGAUCCAGCCAUACCGCGUGGGUGAAGAAGGCCUUCGGGUUGUAAAGCCCUUUUGUUGGGAAAGAAAAGCAGCAGGUUAAUACCCCGCUGUUCUGACGGUACCCAAAGAAUAAGCACCGGCUAACUUCGUG